UACGUAGGGUGAAAGCGUUAAUCGGAAUUACUGGGCGUAAAGCGUGCGCAGGCGGCUUUGCAAGUCAGACGUGAAAUCCCCAGGCUCAACCUGGGAACUGCGUCUGAUACUGGAUGGCUUGAAUUCGGGAGAGGGAUGCAGAAUUCCAGGUGUAGCGGUGAAAUGCGUAGAUAUCUGGAGGAAUACCGGUGGCGAAGGCGGCAUCCUGGACCGACAUUGACGCUGAGGAGCGAAAGCUAGAGGAGCAAACGGG
RNAcentral lists this ribosomal RNA (253 nucleotides) under uncultured bacterium. RNAcentral describes it as "partial 16S ribosomal RNA". It matches the Rfam family "Bacterial small subunit ribosomal RNA", at positions 524 to 776 of the family's 1533-position model. The record is from RNAcentral.